CAGGGCCACAGAGAGGAGUUUGGGUUUGAUUUCAAACGCAUACCUCACACUCAGCCAGCAUGGAGAGACCCAAGAAGCAGCUCUGGGAUAAGUAAGCACUUGGACAGAACAUCUGCUCUUCACGCCCCUGACUCUUUCAGCCGCAGCAUGUUCAGGGAGCCCCGUGACCAGGAGGGAGGUGCUGGGCCAAGCCCUUUCUGUGUGUCUGUGAGCUCGGGGCCCACUUUACAGAUGAGAACACCGAGAGAGGCGAAGGCAUCGGGCCAAGACUGCACGCUCCACGUGCUCCUGAGUCAGGUUCAAGCUCUAGGAGGUGUCUGGGCCCCGAGUGCAGCCGGCUGGGCCGGCAGAACUGAAGCCUAGCUGCCCUGAGAGUCUUUUGUGGGGGGCCCCUAGAGGGGCCCAAGAGGUGGGGACAAGGACUGGAGGACGCAGCAAGCCGGCUGUGGAAAGGCAGGCUGUGGGUCCGGGAGGGAGAGUGACGCAAGAGAAAGCUGUGUGGGCUUUUCCAACCUUGAGCAGGAAGCGGCGUGCACGGUUGGCACAGGCGCUUCUCUGAAGGAUGGAAAAAUCGAUGCCCACAGAAGAGCGGGUGCAGGAAAGCACGCUCCUGUGCCCUUGUGGGGUGUGACUUCCUCAUGUCUGAUGGCUGUGCCAGGAGUGGUCUCGUCCAAUGGUGGAGGCACUGCUCAGGGCCUGGGGUCAGAAUCUUGGCCCAUUGGCCGUGUGACCUCAGUUAGGUGGCCUACACCCUCUGACCGGACCUUGGUCCUCCUCUGUGUGGCAAGCCUGCUGAUGCCUGCUAAGGGUCACACAAGAGAAGAGGCAAGAUGCACUCGUCCCACGCGAGCAUGUGGAGAGCAUUCCAUCAGCUGGGGGUAUUAGUGAUGAAAGAAAACAUUCGCCAACUUAAGCUGUCUUUCAGCUAAACUAUCUUUCAGGACUAAGAGCGAUAUAAAGACAGUUCAAAGACUGAGAAACGACCACUCACAGAGCUUUGCUGAAAGAACCAAUGAAAGAUGGUGAAAGGAAGACGGAAACCAAGCCCUGUAUCAAGUAUGUAAUGAGCCACGAGCAAAGAUAUGAAAAUGUGGGGAAAAUCUAAGUAAGACAUGGCCAUUAAAAUUGGUAAUAAUAAUAAUGACAAAUGGAGGCUCAAAACAAGAUCAAAGCAAAAUAUGGACAUUCAUACCUGCUGACUGGGAGGUAUGGCUGGAGUUAAAUCACUCUGAGACCUUCACUGUCUAGGACGAGGGUGGGGAGUACUCAAUUAGAUCAUGUUCAGUCCGUGAAACACGCUAGAAAUUUAAAGAUAACCUCUAACAGUCAGAAAUGGAAUGUGUAACUUUCAAACCAACAGAGGGAAAAACGGGAAGAAAGAAAACAGGGUCGGUCUAAUAGAAGGCAAAAAAAAGAGGAGGGAGGGGAGAACACUGUUGAUUUUUGUGUUUUUGUAGGAUUAUACGUUACUAUUUAAUAGUUUUUAUCUGCUCCCCUUGGGUUUUCAAGUAGUCAGUUACAUGCUCUACAAAUAAGGAUGAUUUUGUCUCCUUUUCAGUUGCUGUUCUUUAAUUUGUUUUCUUGCCUUAUUGCAUUGUCUGAAAGUUUCAGAGCCAUGGAAAAUUACAGAGGCAUCAUUCAGCAUCCUGGUCUUAUUUAGGACAUGACUAAGAAUGUUCCUGGUGCUUCACCACUAGCUGUGGCUUGAGACAGAUCUUUUUUGUCAUUGAAUCAGUCAGGAUAAGUGAGAUUCCGCUGCAGAAACCAAUAAUGUCACGAUCCCACGGCUUGAGAAGGGUUUAUUUCUUGUCCAUAUUAAGUCCGAGGUGGGUCCAGGCCACUCUGUCUCAGUUACAGCUGUGACUGGCUCAGCAUCGCAUCCCCACGGCAUCAAAUGCCUACAUCCUUGCUGCGGCAAGAGAAAGAGACUUGGAGAGUCUUGUAUGAGCAAGGAAGUGCUUCUACCUAGGAACAACACAGAGGACCUCAGCACGUGGCCCUGCCUGAGCCCACUGGGAAGUGUAGUCCGAGCCUGGGAAACCUCGUAGAUGUCACCACAAGCACGUUAAGCAAGCAUCCUUUCAUCACUGACUUCAUCCCUGGGACCCUGAAAGUCCACCCAAAUGUCACUGGGUCUUGGCCGUUUGACGAGUAGCACCAGGGGUUGGUACAAAGGGGAAGGUGAAGUCGCGCAUUCACGGGCUCUGACAAUGCAUGUUUCCAUUGGAGCCUGGCUGCACGUGUGACCCUUCAAUUCUGCCAAAGUCUCUGACUCCUCAUACCCGAGCUCCCCUUUCCCUGAGCUCCUUUGAGUGGAUUUCGAUUUCUUAUGACCCCCCACGAUGUCACCCGGGAUUAUUUGCUGCUGUUUUCUUUGGAGUUUCUAUCAUAUUCCUAAGCAAGACUGUUCUGUAGUUGUCUGCCAACACUUUGUGUUAGGGUUAUUCCACAUUCUUAAGAUGGCUGGGGAAGGUUUCCGUCUUUCCUGCGUCCCAGAAUGGAAUAUCUGAAAUAUGUGAAUAGUUGUUAGUAAAAGUGUUGGGACCCCACCCUUCUCUAGGAAGUAGCUCUUUCCCUACCUUUUCAAUUUACUCUGUAGUAAUAGAUUUUGUGGUUUUCCUCUACUUGUUGAAUUGCUUUGGGUUAUACAUAUUUUCCGGUAAAACUAUCUGCUUAUUCAUAUUUUCAAAUUUAUUAUCAUAAGGCUUCACUUAAUGUAAUUUGAUUUUUAAAAUAUUUUUGUUCCUAUUGUACAUUCAUUUCUCUCUGCUUAUUAUCUUUGGAUCUGCCAGAAGUUCACCUAAUUUAUUAGACUUUCCAAAAGAACAUGUCAUAGAUUUUUUUUUUUAUUUAUCUUUUAUUUCUGGUGUUUUUUUUCCCUCUUCUCUAAUUUAUGAAACUCUGUUUUUUAUUUUUCUCACCUUCCACCCUUUCUUAUUUAAGAAAAUUCACAACAUGGAGCUAUGAAUUUUCCUCCUUAAAACAUUUUAACCACCUUCUCACAUGUUUAGAUAUGUGAUAUUUGCAGUGCUAUUUUUUUUAAGUAGUUGGUCCUGUAGGUUGCGUUUAGAGUUAUUUACAAAAGUCGUGUUUAAUAUUCAAAUGAUUGGCUUUUUAAUUUAAACUUGUGUUAAUAAUUUCUAGCUUAAUUGCAUGGCGGUCAAACAAUGAGGCUUUCGCUAUAUCUGCUUUGGGGAUUCUAUUGAAGUUUCCUUUAUGGCCUAAUAUAUGAUCAAUUUUCAUAAAUGUUUGAUGGGCUCUGGCACACAAAUGAGUAUCUUUUAUUUGUAAGGUACAAAGUUCAGUUAUUAAAUCAACCUUAUUAAUUCUAUUCUUCCAAUCCCGCAGAAAUGUGUUGGGGGGAUACGAUUUAAAGCUGUCAAAGACAGAAGUGUGUUAAGUCUCAUCUGGAGGGUUUUUUAUUGUUGCCGCUGUUUGUCCUUUGUGUGUGUCUGAGUUAUUGCUUUCCUGGUUGGGUCUAAUGCCAUAUAGGACGUAAAAGAUCGCGAGGACCAGAUCUUUCUUCUGCCUUGUACUCUUUAUCAGUACAAAUGACCUUCUGUCUCGUGUCCGGAUUCUUACCUCUGAUUCUCUCUCUGCUCCAAAUAUUACCAUUUGUCUCAUUUGACUUGAACUUGCCUCAGAUCUUUCAUUUUUCACCUUUCCGUGUCCCGUGGUUCGUAGCUUAUCUCUGGUAAGCUCCGUAGAGUUGGCUUUCCUUCUUAGUUUUUGUUUUAUCCAGUCUGAGAGUCUCUGGUAUUUUACUAGGAAAACGUCCCGCAUUUACAUUUGUAAUUAACAUUGACCCGGUGGCAGCAGUGGGAUUUGCUUCCACGGGGAAGCUGGUCUCAGCCUGAUUCCUUCAUCCCUGGGGUGGCUGCUUCCUUUUGUUUCCUGCAUUUUGU
Mustela erminea (ermine) is the source of this 3905-nucleotide long non-coding RNA. RefSeq lists it as uncharacterized. The transcript is spliced from 5 exons. NCBI's taxonomy places the organism in Eukaryota, Metazoa, Chordata, Mammalia, Carnivora, Mustelidae. The record is from RefSeq and is a predicted model, not a curated record.